RNAcentral lists this ribosomal RNA (279 nucleotides) under uncultured bacterium. Its description in RNAcentral is "partial 16S ribosomal RNA". It matches the Rfam family "Bacterial small subunit ribosomal RNA", at positions 506 to 784 of the family's 1533-position model. The record is from RNAcentral.
UGCCAGCAGCCGCGGUAAUACGGAGGGUGCGAACGUUAAUCGGAAUUACUGGGCGUAAAGCGCGCGUAGGUGGUUUGAUAAGUGGGAUGUGAAAGCCCCGGGCUCAACCUGGGAACUGCAUUCCAAACUGUCGAGCUAGAGUAUGGUAGGGGGAGGUAGAAUUUCCUGUGUAGCGGUGAAAUGCGUAGAUAUAGGAAGGAAUACCGGUGGCGAAGGCGGCCUCCUGGACCAAUACUGACACUGAGGUGCGAAAGCGUGGGGAGCAAACAGGAUUAGAUA